GGAGGGAUCAUUUCUGGAAGAGCGUUAUGCUCUCAGUUGAUUCCCCGAAUCAAUAAUACAAUCUUUGUGGUGGAUCACUUGGGUACUGUGACGAUGAAGAACGUAGCAAGCCGCGUUAUUUAGUGCGACAUGCAAAGCUCGUGAAGCAUCGAACCGUCGAACAUACACACAACUGCUGAGUACUUGUACUAGGCAGUGCUUGCUCGAGAGUGUCAGCUUUCAUAUUGUCUGGACAAGGUUGCGUAUUACACAUAAAGCCAGGAGUGCUAUCAGUAACACACCAGUAAAAGUACCACGAAUGGGUGUAAUACCUGACCUUGUUUAUCAUUCAUAACACUUCGGUGUUCAUGACAAUACACUAUUAUACUUUCUGACCUCUCCUGUGAGAGAUUACCUACUGAAUUUAAGCAUAUUAGUAAGUAGAGGAAAAGAAAUCAAAAGAGAUUCCCUUAGUAGCGGCGAGUGAAACGGGAAUAGUCCAUCCUGAAAUCUAACGCAAGUUGGAUGUUGUGGGGUGCAGGAUAUUGUUCUUCAUGCUGAUGACUGCCGAAUCUUCCUGGAAAGGAGAACCAAAGAGGGUGAAAGUCCUGUACGGUAGUUUGAGGUGUGGUCGGAUAAUGUUCUAAGAGUAGCAUUCUUUUAAAGUAGAAUGUGAAUAUAGGUGAUGAAUUUCAUCUAAGACUAAAUAUUAACACAGUAUACCGAUAGCAAACAAGUACUGAGAAGGAAAGUUGAAAAGAUCCCUGGAGAGGGGCUGAAAAAUAUGUGAAACCACUGAGUGAACAAAGCGAAUCCAACACGCCUUUCUAUCAAGUAGCAAUUAUUGUCAAGACUUGAUAGCCAGUGAUGUAUCGAAAGGUGCAUUUUCCCACUUGCCUGGAAGAAUGCUGCUCUUUUGGCUUGAAACCAAAGUGGUGAACUUGCUUCGGUGAGCUAACUGCGGAGGCCAGGGCUUAUUGAGUGGUAUUUUGAAAGUUAUGGUUUUGGGUUUUACUGGAUGGCAUUGGAUUCGACCCGUCUUGAAACACGGACCAAGGAGUCUAACAUGCCUGCAAGGGUGUAACGUGUGUAAACGUGAAGCCCGCAGUGAAUGCGUACGAUGUUAGCUUCGGCGAAGCGUCAACCAAUCCAGAACUUCGGUUGGAAUUGCGUUCUAGUUAUAUUGUUGAGACCCGAAAGAUGGUGACCUAUACCUGAAUAGAUUGAAGUCAGGGUAACCUCUGAUGGAGGAUCUCGAACGGUGCUGACGUGCAAAUCGCUCGUCGUACUUGGGUAUUGGAGCGAAAGACUCAUCGAACCAUCAGGUAGCUGGUUCCUCC
RNAcentral lists this unclassified non-coding RNA (1319 nucleotides) under Metazoa environmental sample. Its description in RNAcentral is "sequence contains 18S rRNA gene, ITS1, 5.8S rRNA gene, ITS2, 28S rRNA gene". The stretch from base 372 to 1319 matches the Rfam family "Eukaryotic large subunit ribosomal RNA", at positions 1 to 961 of the family's 3401-position model. Lineage: Eukaryota; Metazoa. The record is from RNAcentral.